This 338-nucleotide long non-coding RNA is filed under the name Vigna radiata. Its description in RNAcentral is "long non-coding RNA (VRAD_LNC010534)". Lineage: Eukaryota; Viridiplantae; Streptophyta; Magnoliopsida; Fabales; Fabaceae. The record is from RNAcentral.
CAGGAUGUCCAAAACAGCCUUAUGGCUCGCGUAAUCGAUUACAAGCCUCUUGUAAACGAUUACAAGAGUGCUUUUUGUGGCAGAGUACACUAAAACUCACCAAGGUUCAGUUUAAAACCCUGGGUGGGACCCCUCUACAUCAUGGGGUGUCCCAACCACCAACAUGAAACCCUACACUCACAUUUGCACCAAAAACAAGUCAAGUUGUCUUCAAAAACACCCAAAAAUGACCAGUGCUCCCCCACGUUGCCACAGGUGGCUCCUUCAGUUCAACAGAAUGUCCAAAAUAGCAUUAUGGCUCGCGUAAUCGAUUACAAGCCUCUUGUAAACGAUUACAA